AGUGAACGCUGGCGGUAGGCCUAACACAUGCAAGUCGAACGGCAGCACAGUAAGAGCUUGCUCUUACGGGUGGCGAGUGGCGGACGGGUGAGGAAUACAUCGGAAUCUACUUUUUCGUGGGGGAUAACGUAGGGAAACUUACGCUAAUACCGCAUACGACCUACGGGUGAAAGCAGGGGAUCUUCGGACCUUGCGCGAUUGAAUGAGCCGACGUCGGAUUAGCUAGUUGGCGGGGUAAAGGCCCACCAAGGCGACGAUCCGUAGCUGGUCUGAGAGGAUGAUCAGCCACACUGGAACUGAGACACGGUCCAGACUCCUACGGGAGGCAGCAGUGGGGAAUAUUGGACAAAGGGCGCAAGCCUGAUCCAGCCAUACCGCGUGGGUGAAGAAGGCCUUCGGGUUGUAAAGCCCUUUUGUUGGGAAAGAAAAGCAGCAGGUUAAUACCCCGCUGUUCUGACGGUACCCAAAGAAUAAGCACCGGCUAACUUCGUG
This 492-nucleotide ribosomal RNA is filed under the name uncultured bacterium. Its description in RNAcentral is "partial 16S ribosomal RNA". It matches the Rfam family "Bacterial small subunit ribosomal RNA", at positions 29 to 507 of the family's 1533-position model. The record is from RNAcentral.